Molecule: ribosomal RNA, 343 nt
Filed under: uncultured fungus
Lineage: Eukaryota; Fungi
Description: SSU rRNA
Rfam family: Eukaryotic small subunit ribosomal RNA
Source: RNAcentral
GGUUCAUUCAAAUUUCUGCCCUAUCAACUUUCGAUGGUAGGAUAUAGGCCUACCAUGGUUUCAACGGGUACGGGGAAUUAGGGUUCUAUUCCGGAGAGGGAGCCUGAGAAACGGCUACCACAUCCAAGGAAGGCAGCAGGCGCGCAAAUUACCCAAUCCCGACCGGGGAGGUAGUGACAAUAAAUACUGAUACAGGGGGCUUCUGCCUCUUGUACUUGGAAUGAGUACAAUUUAAAUCUCUUAACGAGGAACAAUUGGAGGGCAAGUCUGGUGCCAGCAGCCGCGGUAAUUCCAGCUCCAAUAGCGUAUAUUAAAGUUGUUGCAGUUAAAAAGCUCGUAGUUG